UGUAAGCGUAUACCAAAGUUGUUGCAGUUAAAACGCUCGUAGUCGGAAUUUGGCAGUUCCGGAAGUGUGCACGUCGUGUGCGCACUUUGCGGGGACUGCUUUUGUGGUCUUGCGUAGGAUGAGGCACUUUCAUUGGUGAACGUCCUCACGCAACCACUCUUUACUGUGAGAAAAUCAGAGUGCUCAAAGCAGGCAUUUGCCGUGAAUGUAUUAGCAUGGAAUAAUAGAAUAGGACUCGGUUCUAUUUUGUUGGUUUGUUGGGACUGAGUAAUGAUUAAGAGGGACAGUUGGGGGCAUUUGUAUUCCGGCGCUAGAGGUGAAAUUCUUAGAUUGCCGGAAGACAAACUGCUGCGAAAGCGUCUGCCAAGGAUGUUUUCAUUGA
RNAcentral lists this ribosomal RNA (382 nucleotides) under uncultured eukaryote. Its description in RNAcentral is "partial 18S ribosomal RNA". It matches the Rfam family "Eukaryotic small subunit ribosomal RNA", at positions 592 to 976 of the family's 1831-position model. The record is from RNAcentral.